GCGAAGGUGGCGGAAUUGGUAGACGCGCUAGCUUUCAGGUGUUAGUGUCCUUACGGACGUGGGGGUUUCAAGUCCCCCCCUCGCACCA
Molecule: transfer RNA, 88 nt
Filed under: Klebsiella pneumoniae
Lineage: Bacteria; Pseudomonadati; Pseudomonadota; Gammaproteobacteria; Enterobacterales; Enterobacteriaceae
Description: tRNA-???(tcag)
Source: RNAcentral